Molecule: ribosomal RNA, 143 nt
Filed under: Archangium gephyra
Lineage: Bacteria; Pseudomonadati; Myxococcota; Myxococcia; Myxococcales; Archangiaceae
Description: partial 16S ribosomal RNA
Rfam family: Bacterial small subunit ribosomal RNA
Source: RNAcentral
UACAAUUGGAGAGUUUGAUCCUGGCUCAGAACGAACGCUGGCGGCGUGCCUAACACAUGCAAGUCGAGCGCGAAUGGAGCAAUCCUAGUAGAGCGGCGCACGGGUGCGUAACACGUGGAUAAUCUGCCUGGGUGUCUGGGAUA